AUUAGACGAAUCAUCUGGAAAGAUGAAUCAAAGAAGGUAAUAAUCCUGUAGUCGAAAAUGUUGUCUCUCUUGAGUGGAUCCUGAGUACGACGGAGCACGUGAAAUUCCGUCGGAAUCUGGGAGGACCAUCUCCUAAGGCUAAAUACUCUCUAGUGACCGAUAGUGAACCAGUACCGUGAGGGAAAGGUGAAAAGCACCCCGGAAGGGGAGUGAAAUAGAACCUGAAACCGUGUGCUUACAAGUAGUCAGAGCCCGUUAAUGGGUGAUGGCGUGCCUUUUGUAGAAUGAACCGGCGAGUUACGAUUUGAUGCAAGGUUAAGCAGUAAAUGUGGAGCCGUAGCGAAAGCGAGUCUGAAUAGGGCGUUUAGUAUUUGGUCGUAGACCCGAAACCAGGUGAUCUACCCUUGGUCAGGUUGAAGUUCAGGUAACACUGAAUGGAGGACCGAACCGACUUACGUUGAAAAGUGAGCGGAUGAACUGAGGGUAGCGGAGAAAUUCCAAUCGAACCUGGAGAUAGCUGGUUCUCUCCGAAAUAGCUUUAGGGCUAGCCUCAAGUGAUGAUUAUUGGAGGUAGAGCACUGUUUGGACGAGGGGCCCCUCUCGGGUUACCGAAUUCAGACAAACUCCGAAUGCCAAUUAAUUUAACUUGGGAGUCAGAACAUGGGUGAUAAGGUCCGUGUUCGAAAGGGAAACAGCCCAGACCACCAGCUAAGGUCCCAAAAUAUAUGUUAAGUGGAAAAGGAUGUGGCGUUGCCCAGACAACUAGGAUGUUGGCUUAGAAGCAGCCAUCAUUUAAAGAGUGCGUAAUAGCUCACUAGUCGAGUGACACUGCGCCGAAAAUGUACCGGGGCUAAACAUAUUACCGAAGCUGUGGAUUGUCCUUUGGACAAUGGUAGGAGAGCGUUCUAAGGGCGUUGAAGCAUGAUCGUAAGGACAUGUGGAGCGCUUAGAAGUGAGAAUGCCGGUGUGAGUAGCGAAAGACGGGUGAGAAUCCCGUCCACCGAUUGACUAAGGUUUCCAGAGGAAGGCUCGUCCGCUCUGGGUUAGUCGGGUCCUAAGCUGAGGCCGACAGGCGUAGGCGAUGGAUAACAGGUUGAUAUUCCUGUACCACCUAUAAUCGUUUUAAUCGAU
Molecule: ribosomal RNA, 1131 nt
Filed under: Staphylococcus aureus
Lineage: Bacteria; Bacillati; Bacillota; Bacilli; Caryophanales; Staphylococcaceae
Description: partial 23S ribosomal RNA
Rfam family: Bacterial large subunit ribosomal RNA
Source: RNAcentral